ACCAUAAAUUCGACCAUAAAUAUAAUCUAUGGUCGAAGUUUGUGUGUAGUGUGUACUGUGUAAUGUGUAUUGUGUGCGUGUUGUUAUGGUCCAUGCUCCAUGCGGAGUAGGGGCGAGAAUGUUGUUCAGUGGUAGUGUGUAAAUGGUAGUGUAGUGCAAGUUAUUUUGCGGUGGUAACAUAAUCACAGUUCCACAUUUAAUAUGGCUUCUGAUGACGUUGAUUAUAUGUCAGAUGACAUAUUGGUUCAAUGUGAACAACAGGACAUAAGACCGGGCUUAAUACAUAACCACAGUCAGAAAAGAUCACAUACAAUAUAUAAACAAAAAUUGGUGAAAGAUGCAGAAAAUAAGAAAAUAUUUCCAAGAAAAAGUGUGCUUGAGGAAGAAAGGAGGGACGAAGGACUAAAAGAAGCAAUUUCCAGUGACAAUAAGGGGUUUGCCCUUCUGCAGAAAAUGGGCUACAAACCAGGAUCAGCUAUUGGAAAAUCAGGUUCAGGAAUUGUGGAGCCUGUACCAAUAGCUGUGAAGACAAAUAGAGGAGGUCUUGGGAGGGAAGCAGCAUUGAAAGAAAUUAAAGAACAAAAACUGGCAAUUAAGGCAAGAUUAUUAAAACACAGGAAUCAAUUAAAUGAUAUAGAAAGUUACAGAAGUCAGAUGACAAGAAAAAUGGAAGAACGUCAGAAUGAAGCUGAUCUAAGGAAAAGUCAGAGAAUUUGUGAGCAGCUUGACAAAAGAAAGGACAUUGACAUUCCAGCAGAACCGUGGUUUUGGCCUGAUGGUUGGUCACAAGAGGAAGAAAAUGAGUCAGAUGAAGAGGAGGAGGAGGAAGAAGAAUGUGAUGGGGAUGAGGAGGAGGAGGAGGAGGAGAGCACUGAGGAAAUAACAUUUCAGACUCCAGAAAAACUGGAAAUAAUCACGUUGUAUCUAAGAAGAACAUAUCACUAUUGCAUCUGGUGUGGAACAGAAUUUGACGACGAAAAAGAUAUGCAGCAGAAUUGCCCUGGAAGCACAAGGGCAGAUCAUUAGUAAUCUUAUAGUUAUGAAUAAAUAAAUAAAUAAAAAGAAGCACUGGUCAACAUCAGUCGACAUAAGGACUUGGACGACGCUAAGUGGAGCAUGCCCGUCAAGGAUGCAGUGAUGGCGUAACCAGUGUCAUCACUCAGAAAAGCCGAAGCACAAACAAGCAGGGAGCUCAUUGCCUCAGACUGUGGAAGGGAGAGUGUCAGCAACACCUGAUUCAGCACUUUGAGAAAGUUCAGAGCAGGCACAAUGCUAUCCUCUGAACAGGGCUACGUGUAGUAACUACACUUAGGCAUGUCACAAGAAUGCAUUUCAGGCUGCAAACUUUGCAAAAAAAAAUGUUCUGACACUCUGAAACAACACAUUAGGCCAGCCAGGAAUGCUGACUGACUCAGAAAAUAGGAGCACAGUAAGGUGGCAUCAAGUCAUCGACUGCUAUAAAACCUUCUUCUUCCUUCCAUUCAAUCUGAGUCUUGCCACUCCAUUUGGAUCACUGAUACCAAUGUAUGGUCACCGCUACUAGUUACAGAAUGACUUGGUGAAGACAACAAAGUUUUGCUGCCCACCACCAGCUUGGAGUCAUUGCUACAAGUCUGCAGCUGUCUUGAUGUGGAGGGAACUUCAACUCUACAAGCUGCAUUCCUGCCAGUUACACCUGUGACUACCUGAAGAUGAGGGCAAUGCUAGUCUUCCAUGAAUGAAGAACCAAUGUGCUCACGAGCUGUUCAACUUGAGAGCAGAGUGCCUGUGCUGCCACUCACGGGCAAUACAAGUAUUGGGACCAACUUUCGAGCUGUCCUGUGUCUCUGUUGGGUCUUCCACCUACCCACCAUCACGACAACCAGCAACAGGUGCAUGGUGAUUUCUGGGGGCAAGCCUGAGUGCAACUACACUCAACGAGAGUGCUGAGGCUCUGACAGAUGUCCACAGCCACACCAGGCCGCAGAGACAUGCUGGCUGUCGCACCCUUGUGUGACAGGGCUGCGGCACAAACCUUGGACUACGCCAGGGCGCUACCCUGUGCCUCCGUGUAGUGUGGGUACAGCACACCCACUGCUAAGCCAAAUCGAGAAGAAGACAGAGUGAUUGUAUAACCUUUGGAAAUCGAUGACCAUUUAUUGAAUGAUGUCUUAUUAGUGCCCUGUCAAACUGCUGGACAACACCUCCACUCUACAAUCCUACACCCACGUAAGGAGGCUGCAUUUGGUGGACACCUACAUUAUUAGUGCCUCCAUCUCACUGCUGUCUAGAAAGGGAGCAGCCUCCUAUCCCACACUUGGAAUUUUUCCCCUCAAUCUCUAUGGUUAGUCUGUCUCCAAGCAUGCCUGCACUCUGUUCUCGGCUCGUCCACCUCAGCUAGCUGGCCCCACUUUGGCUGGCCAGCUGUGCAAUCAAGUACACUUGUCACUGUCUUGUUGAAAGUUCCUAAUCUUUCUUUUAAUCACCUAAAAUUUUUUGUCAUUGUCAUUGUUUCUUACCAUUAGCAAUGUAGGAGAAGAUAGAUUGCUACUUACUGUAAAGAAGACACAUUAAGUUGCAGACAGGCUCAAUUAAGACACUUGCACAAAGCUUUAGGCCACAACCUUCAUCAGCAAGAGAGGAAACACACACACACACACACACACACACACACACACACACACACACACACACACACAGUGCACUGUCAAGAGUUUGUGGGGCUGGGAGGUGGAGAGAAAAGGAGCAAAAAAAAGGCAAGCAAUGGGGUAAGAUGGGUGGACAUAUUGGUAGAGAACGGCAGGCAGAGGGUGGAAGACAAGAAUGGUAAGGAGGUGAUACAAUGUGGGUGGGGGAGGGGGAGGUAGACAGUGGGUCAUUGUAGGUUGAGGCCGGAGUAAUUACGUGAGCGGAGAAAGUGUUGUAAGGAUAACUCCCACUGCGCAGUUCAGAAAAGCUGGUGGUGGAGGGGAUGAUCCAGGUGGCUUGGGUAGUGGAGCAGCCAUUGAAGUCAAGCAUGUUAUGUUCUGCUGCGUGUUGUGCUACAGGGUGGACUAGUUUGCUUUUGGUUGGAGUUUGGCAGUGGACAUUCAUCCUAGUGGACAGCUGGUUGGUAGUCAUAACUAUAUAAAAAGCUGUGCAGUGAUUGCAGCAGAGCUGAUAGAUCACAUGACUGCUUUCACAAGUGGCCUGGCCUCUGAUGGAGUAUGAUAAACCUGUGACAAGACUGGAAUCGGAAGUGCUGAGUUUGUGGAUUGGGCAGGUCUUGCACCUGGAUCUUCGCAGGGAAAUGAUCCUUGUAGCAAGGGUUUGGGAUUGGGAAUGGUAUAGGAAUAUGCUUGGAUGUUGUGAAGGUUGAGUGAGUGACGGAACACCACUUUAGGAAGGGUGGAAAGUAUCUUGAGUAGUAUGUCCCUCGUUUCAGGGCAUGAUGAUAGGUAAUCAAAGCCCUGGCAAAGGAUUUGGUCCAAUUGUUCCAGUCUGGGGUGGUAUGAGUGGCAAAGGGGGCGCUCCCCCAGACCUAGUCCACAAACAAACCUGCUGCGCCAUUUCCCCUCACAACCUGAACCGUCCCACCACCCCCAAGAACCAGCCCCGAAGGAAUCCUAAAGUGGUGUUCCGUCGCCCACCCAACUUGCACAAUCUCCGGUUCCAUACCUGUGCCACUCCCAAUCCCAACCCCCUGCUACAAGGAUCAUAUCCCCAUGGAAGACCAACGUGCAAAAGCUGCCCAAUCCACCUGCCCAGCAUUUCUUAUUCCAAUCCUGUCACAAGUUUAUCCUACCACAUCAGAGGCUGGGCCACCGGUGAAAGGAGACAUAUGGUUUAUCAGCCCUGCUGCAAUCACUGCACCGGUUUUUAUAUUGUUAUGACUACCUGUUGGUAGUCAUAAUGCAGCUAUCACUUGGGGUGAAGCAGCCAUCUGGAAGGGUUGGGGAAGAAGAAGGGGAAGGGAUAGUAGUGUACAGCUGUCCACUAAGAUGAAUGGGCACUGCCAAACUCCAGUCAAGAACAAGCUAGUCCACUCUAUAGCACAACAAGAAGCUGAACAUCACACACCUGGAUCCUCCCAUUCACCACCAGCUCUUCUGAACUGCGCAGAUGGGAGCUAUCCUUACAACACAUUCUCUGCUCCUACUACCCUCAGACCCUCCACCCGACAGUUUCCACUCCCUCUGUCCUAUUGUCUCCUCCCCAUUUUUGUCACCCACCCUCUGUCAACACACCUGCACACCUUUCCCCACUCUUCUCCUUUUUCGUGAUUUCCCUAAAUCACUUCAGGCAAAUGCUGGGAUGGUUCCUUUGAAAGGGCACGGCCGAUUUCCUUCCCCAUCCUUCCCUCACCCGAGCUUGCGCUCCGUCUCUAAUGACCUCGUUGUCGACGGGAUUUAAACACUAAUCUUCUCCUCCUCCUCCUCCUCCUCCUCCUCCUCCUCCUUUUUCACUCCUACCUCCCUGCCUCAACCUCCUGACCCCGUGCCUGUUGGCAUUCUACUUCCUGCACACUCUGGCAGACAGCAUUUUUCUCUCCCCCCACCUAAACACUGCUGUCCCUUCCCCUUUCCAGUGCCCUCCAGAUUGCUGCUUCCAUCCCAAGUGAUUGUUGCAUACUGGCCCGAGCUGCCGAAUUUGGUGGUCAUGUGUGCUCAAAGUGUGCUUGCUUGAGCGUAUGAAUGGUGUGUGUGUUUCUCUUUUGCCGAUGAAAGCUGUGGCAAGAGCUUCGUGUAAGUGUCGUUUAAUUGUACUUGUCUGCAACUUAAAAUGACUUAUUUAUGGUAAGCAGCAAUCUGUCAUUUCCUACUUUGCUGAUAUUCCUACCUGGAGUUUCUAUUGUUUGAUUUCUUGCAAUCAGAAUAUGCAUUAGAUACAUUGUUACUUCCUAGCCUGAAGAAAAUUAAUUUAUCAUUUAUUGUUCAUGUCACAAUGGUUCACUGCGUUUUGUAGCAAAAAUGUCAAAGAAGUGAAUCUAUGUGAAGGAUACACACGAGAAUCAUUGGAGUUACUACUAUUUUUACUUAGUGAUCCUGAGGAUUCUGAAACAGAUAAUGAAUAUGUUUCAGACAUGUGGGCACUGAGUCAUGUUUAGUUCUACAUCAUGAUAAUAGCAGUCCAAAUAGUACCAGUGUUUGGAAUUGAGGUUUCUGGUGGAUACCACUGUUGUUGACUUGCUUCAUGUUCAUACAUAUGGAGAACCUGUUGCAGGCAGCAGAUUGACAAAAUAAAACACAGAGGAAGACUA
RNA transcript from Schistocerca americana (American grasshopper), 5218 nucleotides. It is a transcript of the gene named G patch domain-containing protein 11, with no coding region annotated. The record is from RefSeq and is a predicted model, not a curated record. The transcript has 6 exons. NCBI's taxonomy places the organism in Eukaryota, Metazoa, Arthropoda, Insecta, Orthoptera, Acrididae.